RNAcentral lists this long non-coding RNA (214 nucleotides) under Lathyrus oleraceus (garden pea). RNAcentral's name for it is "Pisum sativum (pea) long non-coding RNA (PSAT_LNC015808)". The record is from RNAcentral. Lineage: Eukaryota; Viridiplantae; Streptophyta; Magnoliopsida; Fabales; Fabaceae.
AAAUUAAUCAAUUAACAAAAUUAAUCAAGUAAAAUAAAUUUAAUCAAUUAAUCAAGUUAAUUAAAAACCAAUUAAUAAAAUUAGUCAAUAAGCAACCCAAUUUGAUCAAUUAAUUAUAUAUAAAAAAGAGAAAUAAAGAAAUAGUAAUAAAAUUAAAAAGAAAAAAAUAAAAGAAAAAAGUUGGUAGGGGCCGCAUGGGCCUCACAUGCUCUUC